UACGUAGGGUGCAAGCGUUGUCCGGAAUUAUUGGGCGUAAAGAUCUCGUAGGCGGUCUGUCGCGUCGGAUGUGAAAAUCCAGGGCUCAACCCUGGACCUGCAUUCGAUACGGGCAGACUAGAGUUCGGUAGGGGAGACUGGAAUUCCUGGUGUAGCGGUGAAAUGCGCAGAUAUCAGGAGGAACACCGGUGGCGAAGGAGGAUCUCUGGGAAGAAACUGACGCUGAGGAGCGAAAGAGUGGGGAGCAAACAGG
RNAcentral lists this ribosomal RNA (253 nucleotides) under uncultured bacterium. Its description in RNAcentral is "partial 16S ribosomal RNA". It matches the Rfam family "Bacterial small subunit ribosomal RNA", at positions 524 to 776 of the family's 1533-position model. The record is from RNAcentral.